RNAcentral lists this ribosomal RNA (301 nucleotides) under uncultured bacterium. RNAcentral's name for it is "partial 16S ribosomal RNA". It matches the Rfam family "Bacterial small subunit ribosomal RNA", at positions 509 to 807 of the family's 1533-position model. The record is from RNAcentral.
CAGUCGCCACGGGAAUACAGAGGAUGCAAGCGUUAUCCGGAAUGAUUGGGCGUAAAGCGCGCGUAGGCGGUUUUUUAAGUCUGAUGUGAAAGCCCACGGCUCAACCGUGGAGGGUCAUUGGAAUCUGGAAAACUUGAGUGCAGAAGAGGAAAGUGGAAUUCCAUGUGUAGCGGUGAAAUGCGCAGAGAUAUGGAGGAACACCAGUGGCGAAGGCGACUUUCUGGUCUGUAACUGACGCUGAUGUGCGAAAGCGUGGGGAUCAAACAGGAUUAGAUACCCCAGUAGUCCCUGUCUCUUAUAC